This 399-nucleotide ribosomal RNA is filed under the name uncultured bacterium. RNAcentral describes it as "bacterial SSU rRNA". It matches the Rfam family "Bacterial small subunit ribosomal RNA", at positions 356 to 772 of the family's 1533-position model. The record is from RNAcentral.
AGGGAAUAUUGGACAAUGGGCGAAAGCCUGAUCCAGCAAUGCCGCGUGAGUGAUGAAGGCCUUAGGGUUGUAAAGCUCUUUUACCCGGGAUGAUAAUGACAGUACCUGGAGAAUAAGCUCCGGCUAACUCCGUGCCAGCAGCCGCGGUAAUACGGAGGGAGCUAGCGUUGUUCGGAAUUACUGGGCGUAAAGCGUACGUAGGCGGUUACUCAAGUCAGAGGUGAAAGCCCGGGGCUCAACCCCGGAACUGCCUUUGAAACUAGGUAGCUAGAAUCUUGGAGAGGUCAGUGGAAUUCCGAGUGUAGAGGUGUAAUUCGUAGAUAUUCGGAAGAACACCAGUGGCGAAGGCGACUGACUGGACAAGCAUUGACGCUGAGGUACGAAAGCGUGGGGAGCAAA